AUUGAACGCUGGCGGCAUGCCUUACACAUGCAAGUCGAACGGUAACGCGGGGCAACCUGGCGACGAGUGGCGAACGGGUGAGUAAUAUAUCGGAACGUGCCCAUUAGUGGGGGAUAGCCCGGCGAAAGCCGGAUUAAUACCGCAUACGACCUACGGGUGAAAGCGGGGGAUCGCAAGACCUCGCGCUAUUGGAGCGGCCG
RNAcentral lists this ribosomal RNA (200 nucleotides) under uncultured bacterium. Its description in RNAcentral is "partial 16S ribosomal RNA". It matches the Rfam family "Bacterial small subunit ribosomal RNA", at positions 30 to 232 of the family's 1533-position model. The record is from RNAcentral.